CUUGAACGCUGGCGGCAUGCCUUACACAUGCAAGCCGAACGACAGCACGGGUGCUUGCACCUGGUGGCGAGAGGCGAACGGGUGAGUAAUACAUCGGAAUGUACCUUGUAGUGGGGGAUAGCUCGGCGAAAGCCGGAUUAAUACCGCAUACGCUCUGAGGAGGAAAGCGGGGGACCUUCGGGCCUCGUGCUACAAGAGCAGCCGAUGUCAGAUUAGCUUGUUGGUGAGGUAAAAGCUCACCAAGGCGACGAUCUGUAGCUGGUCUGAGAGGACGACCAGCCACACUGGGACUGAGACACGGCCCAGACUCCUACGGGAGGCAGCAGUGGGGAAUUUUGGACAAUGGGCGAAAGCCUGAUCCAGCAAUGCCGCGUGUGUGAAGAA
Molecule: ribosomal RNA, 384 nt
Filed under: uncultured Pandoraea sp.
Lineage: Bacteria; Pseudomonadati; Pseudomonadota; Betaproteobacteria; Burkholderiales; Burkholderiaceae
Description: bacterial SSU rRNA
Rfam family: Bacterial small subunit ribosomal RNA
Source: RNAcentral